UUUGGUAGAAAUUUUCCAUCAUAGUACAUCAUUUUGGAUUUGUUUGUAUGACUUAACAAUUCCCAUUAUUCCCAUUCUAUUCUUCAAUGGGCUGAAUUCCCUUUUGGGGUGGUAGGCUGAAGAUAUCAGAAGAGGCCUCACUGGGGAGCCAGGAGUUAGUUAUCAUGGUGGUAAUUGCAGAUUUCAAUAAGAGAAGACCCUCUAAGGCAAUGACAUAGUAAGAAGAUGUACAUCUGCAAACCAGGAAGGGAGCCCUCGCCUGACAACUAGAUCUGCCAGCACCUUGAUCUUGGAUUUUCU
Molecule: long non-coding RNA, 300 nt
Filed under: Homo sapiens (human)
Lineage: Eukaryota; Metazoa; Chordata; Mammalia; Primates; Hominidae
Description: HSALNT0314047
Source: RNAcentral